Molecule: ribosomal RNA, 492 nt
Filed under: uncultured bacterium
Lineage: Bacteria
Description: partial 16S ribosomal RNA
Rfam family: Bacterial small subunit ribosomal RNA
Source: RNAcentral
AGUGAACGCUGGCGGUAGGCCUAACACAUGCAAGUCGAACGGCAGCACAGUAAGAGCUUGCUCUUACGGGUGGCGAGUGGCGGACGGGUGAGGAAUACAUCGGAAUCUACUUUUUCGUGGGGGAUAACGUAGGGAAACUUACGCUCAUACCGCAUACGACCUACGGGUGAAAGCAGGGGAUCUUCGGACCUUGCGCGAUUGAAUGAGCCGAUGUCGGAUUAGCUAGUUGGCGGGGUAAAGGCCCACCAAGGCGACGAUCCGUAGCUGGUCUGAGAGGAUGAUCAGCCACACUGGAACUGAGACACGGUCCAGACUCCUACGGGAGGCAGCAGUGGGGAAUAUUGGACAAUGGGCGCAAGCCUGAUCCAGCCAUACCGCGUGGGUGAAGAAGGCCUUCGGGUUGUAAAGCCCUUUUGUUGGGAAAGAAAAGCAGCAGGUUAAUACCCCGCUGUUCUGACGGUACCCAAGGAAUAAGCACCGGCUAACUUCGUG